This 300-nucleotide long non-coding RNA is filed under the name Nicotiana benthamiana. Its description in RNAcentral is "long non-coding RNA (NBEN_LNC001823)". The record is from RNAcentral. Lineage: Eukaryota; Viridiplantae; Streptophyta; Magnoliopsida; Solanales; Solanaceae.
UCGAUUACAAAAGUAUCAGUCCUAGACUCAGAUGUAUCACCAACAUUAACAAUUUUUGACUGAGAAAGGAUUUUGGGCCUGAAAUUUGUAAGACUAAGAAACCCUAAGUGUUCCUAGGUAAAAAAUUCCAAAAAUCGACUGACUCGUACAUUUGAACUGAUGAGAGAAAGUAUGAAACUCAGAAAAACUCAGAAAAAUCAACAAUCACCGAAGGACAUCCAGAGAAAAAUAGAGAAAAAGAGAAAAACCUAGAUUUGUCGGAGAAGACUGAAACUUUGACGAGAGACGGUGAGGGUAACA